This 253-nucleotide ribosomal RNA is filed under the name uncultured bacterium. RNAcentral describes it as "partial 16S ribosomal RNA". It matches the Rfam family "Bacterial small subunit ribosomal RNA", at positions 524 to 776 of the family's 1533-position model. The record is from RNAcentral.
UACGAAGGGGGCUAGCGUUGAUCGGAAUUACUGGGCGUAAAGCGCACGUAGGCGGAUUUGUUAGUCAGGGGUGAAAUCCCGGGGCUCAACCUCGGAAUUGCCUUUGAUACUGCAAGUCUCGAGUCCGGAAGAGGUGAGUGGAAUUCCUAGUGUAGAGGUGAAAUUCGUAGAUAUUAGGAAGAACACCAGUGGCGAAGGUGGCUCACUGGUCCGGUACUGACGCUGAGGUGCGAAAGCGUGGGGAGCAAACAGG